Molecule: ribosomal RNA, 270 nt
Filed under: uncultured bacterium
Lineage: Bacteria
Description: partial 16S ribosomal RNA
Rfam family: Bacterial small subunit ribosomal RNA
Source: RNAcentral
ACUCCUACGGGAGGCAGCAGUGGGGAAUAUUGCACAAUGGGCGCAAGCCUGAUGCAGCCAUGCCGCGUGUAUGAAGAAGGCCUUCGGGUUGUAAAGUACUUUCAGCAGUGAGGAAGGUGGAUAUGUUAAUAGCAUAUCUUCAUUGACUGUAGCUGCAGAAGAAGCACCGGCUAACUCCGUGCCAGCAGCCGCGGUAAUACGGAGGGUGCGAGCGUUAAUCGGAAUUACUGGGCGUAAAGCGCAUGCAGGUGGUUUGUUAAGUCAGAUGUG